CGUAACAAGGUCUCCGUAGGUGAACCUGCGGNGGGNUCAUUACACAAAUAUGAAGGCGGGCUGGAACCUCUCGGGGUUACAGCCUUGCUGAAUUAUUCACCCUUGUCUUUUGCGUACUUCUUGUUUCCUUGGUGGGUUCGCCCACCACUAGGACAAACAUAAACCUUUUGUAAUUGCAAUCAGCGUCAGUAACAAAUUAAUAAUUACAACUUUCAACAACGGAUCUCUUGGUUCUGGCAUCGAUGAAGAACGCAGCGAAAUGCGAUAAGUAGUGUGAAUUGCAGAAUUCAGUGAAUCAUCGAAUCUUUGAACGCACAUUGCGCCCUUUGGUAUUCCAAAGGGCAUGCCUGUUCGAGCGUCAUUUGUACCCUCAAGCUUUGCUUGGUGUUUGGCGUCUUGUCUCUAGCUUUGCUGGAGACUCGCCUUAAAGUAAUUGGCAGCCGGCCUACUGGUUUCGGAGCGCAGCACAAGUCGCACUCUCUAUCAGCAAAGGUCUAGCAUCCAUUAAGCCUUUUUUUCAACUUUUGACCUCGGAUCAGGUAGGGAUACCCGCUGAACUUAAGCAUAUCA
Molecule: ribosomal RNA, 570 nt
Filed under: uncultured fungus
Lineage: Eukaryota; Fungi
Description: eukaryotic LSU rRNA
Rfam family: 5.8S ribosomal RNA (bases 208-361)
Source: RNAcentral